GGCAGUGUAACAUAGUGGUAAAGAGCCGGGCUUGUAACCGAAAGGUCGCUGGUUCGAUUCCUCACCGGAGCACUGUUG
This is a non-coding RNA of Megalops atlanticus (tarpon), 78 nucleotides long. The record is from the annotation of a GenBank genome assembly. NCBI's taxonomy places the organism in Eukaryota, Metazoa, Chordata, Actinopteri, Elopiformes, Megalopidae.